AUUGAACGCUGGCGGCAGGCCUAACACAUGCAAGUCGAGCGAGCGGCGGACGGGUGAGUACUGUCUGGGAAACUGCCUGAUGGAGGGGGGUAACUACUGGAAACGGGAUCUAAUACCGCAUACCAUCAGAUGUGCCCAGAUGUGAUUAGCGAGUAGGUGGGGUAACGGCUCACCUAGGCGACGAUCCCUAGAUGGUCUGAGAGGAUAACCAGCCACACUGGAACUGAGACACGGUCCAGACUCCUACGGGAGGCAGCAGUGGGGAAGAUUGCACAAUGGGCGCAAGCCUGAUGCAGCCAUGCCGCGUGUGUGAAGAAGGCCUUCGGGUUGUAAAGUACUUUCAGCGGGGAGGCGUUACCCGCAGAAGAAGCACCGGCUAACUCCGUGCCAGCAGCCGCGGUAAUUC
RNAcentral lists this ribosomal RNA (406 nucleotides) under uncultured bacterium. Its description in RNAcentral is "partial 16S ribosomal RNA". It matches the Rfam family "Bacterial small subunit ribosomal RNA", at positions 30 to 526 of the family's 1533-position model. The record is from RNAcentral.